This 1488-nucleotide long non-coding RNA is filed under the name Sus scrofa (pig). Its description in RNAcentral is "lncRNA (ENSSSCG00015011169.1)". Lineage: Eukaryota; Metazoa; Chordata; Mammalia; Artiodactyla; Suidae. The record is from RNAcentral.
AUGAGAAAGGGAGGCUGGCCGCCACCAGGGAAUGCCCGGGCAGGGAGAAGCAGGGCUCCGGGGAGGGUCUCGGCUGCCAGCAGCCCCUCCCCACGGUCCCCACCUGCGUGCUCACCUCCCAGCCCCGCCGCCUCCAGACGAGGGCAGACAAGGAGGCCCAGGCCACGGGUGGGUCAGGGACCCAGGCACCAUCCUCCCCAGCUUCUCGCGUUCCACACCCGCCACCAUCCCGGCGAGUCAGGUCAUCAAGCAGACGAGGACUGGCCGGGCCGGACAGAGGCCCGCGGAGGCCGGCACCUGCCCCGGGGCCGCAGAGAGAAGGGCAGCCUGCCAGAAUCUGCCAAUUCAAAAAUGUGCUUAUGGGACCUUCCCCUGCCGCCCCAAGGAGAGAGCCACAGAUGCGGGCUGGUCCUCGGAGAGGCGGGAGCACAAACACAGGUUCCCCACCAGGCCCUCCAGACGGCACCCAGCAACACCCCCCCCCCAGGGCCCAGGGCACCAGGCGGGGCACCAACAGCCAAGCCCCAUCAGCUCCACCGGCCACAGGACCAUGGGGUGGGGUGUCGCCUAGCAGAGGGACAGCGGGCCCUGUGUCUGUCGCACGGCACAUGGCCCCCACACUGGGCUCUGACGAGGGUACUGUCUAGGGGUCUGGGUGGCCCCCUGCCCCAUGUCCACGGGGACCAUGCAGCCUGUGGCUCCUUCUGACAUGCCAACGGCCACCAGGCAGGACUGCCUGCCACCCACACGCCAGCCCCCGGCCCUCCACUCGAAAACUGCAACUUCAGUGUGGGUAACGGGUCCGGAGCCAACACACAGGGCACGAACCUCAGCAAACACCAACAGUCGGCCCAGGCGGAGCGGAGCGACCCCCAAGCCUGCGGCCCACCAUGCAGCCCGUCUAGUCCACGGCCAGCCGGGAACCGCUUCCAGAAGGCUUGCAGGGAAUUAAGCUGUGUAUUGAGCAGAGCCGACACUCUCUCACCUGUAUUUGUAAUUUAAAUAAUGUAAGCUGGAAGAGGGUCCCCCUCGGGCAUAGUUUAGUAACUUAAAAAGCCAGCUCCCAGCUGGCAGGCGGCACCCUUCUCCUCCCUUCGGAGCUGAGGCAGGGUCUCCCCCUGGCACCCCAGGCUGGGGGCAGGCCGGGCCCCUGGGGUGGGCGUUGAGAGCAGGGGCUGCCCAGGCCAUCCCUCCUCGGGCCCCCGCACCACCCUGCGGUCCCCUCGUGGGCCUGCAGGUGUCCUUGACGCGGCCAGGUCCCUGGCGGAGGACGGAGGGGACGAGGGCCCGUGCCCACCGGUCACCCAACUCAUUAAAGACAGCGCCUCUGCACACACGACCGUCUUUAAUAUUCAUAGCUCUGCUCAUCUGCAUAUCAUGCCAUAAAUAGUCGAGGUAAAACACAAAGAUCCCUGCAUUUCUAAUUAUGCUUAAAAAUCUCAUGUAAAUCAGACCGACACAGAAAUACUAAAUCAGCCGCUGGGGCGG